UACGUAGGGUGCGAGCGUUAAUCGGAAUUACUGGGCGUAAAGCGUGCGCGGGCGGUGAUGUAAGACAGGUGUGAAAUCCCCGGGCUUAACCUGGGAACUGCAUUUGUGACUGCAUCGCUAGAGUUUGGCAGAGGGGGGGGUAGAAUUCCACGUGUAGCAGUGAAAUGCGUAGAUAUGUGGAGGAACACCGAUGGCGAAGGCAGCCCCCUGGGUCGAAAACUGACGCUCAUGCACGAAAGCGUGGGGAGCAAACAGGG
Molecule: ribosomal RNA, 257 nt
Filed under: uncultured bacterium
Lineage: Bacteria
Description: partial 16S ribosomal RNA
Rfam family: Bacterial small subunit ribosomal RNA
Source: RNAcentral